AUUAAAAAUGGGCACAGAAAGUUCAAGUUCCUGAAACAGGAGCAGUCAGGGCCAGAGUGGGCGGGGCCCGUUGUUCCGGGACUGGUUUCUGUGGGAAACCCCUCAGGGCCCAGCGAGCACACCUGCAGCCACACCUGGCCAGCAUCGGCCCAGCCCGGGCAGAGCUGCAGCCAGAUCCUCAGGGUCCUUCUGGCACCCCCAUGUCCCCCUGUCCCCGCAGGGCUCCGGGCGGCCGUGACCCUGCUGGAGUGCGGGGGGGACCUCCAGCCCCCCGGGGGGUCCCUGCGCCUCCUCUGCCGAGGGGCCGGGUUCGAUUUCGGGAGUUUUUCCAUAAGCUGGGUUCGCCAGAGACCCGGGCAGGGGCUGGAGUUUGUCGCAGGGAUCAGCAGCAGUGGUGACUACACCUACUACGCGCCAUCGCUCCAGGCCCGGGUCAGGAUCUCCAGGGACAACGGGCAGAGCUCGGUGACGCUGACCAUGACCGACCUGCGGGACGAGGAUUCCGGAUCCUAUUUCUGUGCCAAGCAUGCUGAAUGGGGUGCUCGUUAUAACGAUGCCUAUGGUAUUGGCGCCUCGCCCAUGUCCGUCUGUCCCCCGUCCCCGUUCCCCAACCCCCACCCCUGACCCCGUUCCUGUCCC
Non-coding RNA from Haemorhous mexicanus (house finch), 639 nucleotides. The record is from the annotation of a RefSeq genome assembly. NCBI's taxonomy places the organism in Eukaryota, Metazoa, Chordata, Aves, Passeriformes, Fringillidae.